Molecule: ribosomal RNA, 1164 nt
Filed under: Chondria sp. ARS-2010
Lineage: Eukaryota; Rhodophyta; Florideophyceae; Ceramiales; Rhodomelaceae
Description: SSU rRNA
Rfam family: Eukaryotic small subunit ribosomal RNA
Source: RNAcentral
UACAACGAAACUGCGAAUGGCUCGGUAAAACAGCAAUAAUUUAUUCGGGGGUAACUGCUACUUGGAUAACCGUAGUAAAGCUAGAGCUAAUACGUGCUACAAAGGCGAGCUUCGCUCGUGGUGCUAAGUAUUAGGUACAAGCCAAUUUUUUUGGUGAUUCAUACUUAUUUUCUGAUCGCACUCUGUGCGACGCCCCGAAUAAAUUUCUGACCUAUCAACUAUGAUGGUAAGGUAGUGUCUUACCAUGGUUGUGACGGGUAACGGACCGUGGGUGCGGGAUUCCGGAGAGGGAGCCUGAGAAACGGCUACCACAUCCAAGGAAGGCAGCAGGCGCGCAACUUACCCAAUCCGAACUUCGGGAGGUAGUGACAAAAAAUAUCAAUAGGGGGACCAAUGGUCUUCCUAAUUGGAAUGAAAACAAUCUAAACACCUUAUUGAGGAACCAGCAGAGGGCAAGUCUGGUGCCAGCAGCCGCGGUAAUUCCAGCUCUGUAAGCGUAUACCAAAGUUGUUGCAGUUAAAACGCUCGUAGUCGAACUUUGGCGCUAGUUACUGAGACUCCUACUGGACGUUGACGUAUCUACGCCUUUGUGGAGGGGGGUGCGGUGUUGCUUAAUUGUACUGCUGCAUUUCCGCCACUUUUUACUGUGAAAAAAUUAGAGUGUUCAAAGCGAGCGUUUGCCAUGAAUACAUUAGCAUGGAAUAAUAGAAUAGGACCUGGUCCUGUUUUAUUGGUUUGUCAGUAUCAGGUAAUGAUUAACAGGGACGGUCGGGGGCAUUUGUAUUCCAGCGCUAGAGGUGAAAUUCUUGGAUUGCUGGAAGACAAACAGCUGCGAAAGCGUCUGCCAAGGACGUUUUCAUUGAUCAAGAACGAAAGUAAGGGGAUCGAAGACGAUCAGAUACCGUCGUAGUCUUUACUAUAAACUUUGAGAACUAGGACAUCGGACGUGGCCUUAUUGGUACGUUCGGCACCUUCCGGGAAACCAAAGUGUUUGCUUUCUGGGGGGAGUAUGGUCGCAAGUCUGAAACUUAAAGGAAUUGACGGAAGGGCAUCACCGGGUGUGGAGCCUGCGGCUUAAUUUGACUCAACACGGGAAAACUUACCAGGUCCAGACAUAGUAAGGAUUGACAGAUUGAGAGCUCUUUCUUGAUUCUAUGGUUGGUG